RNAcentral lists this microRNA (20 nucleotides) under Eptesicus fuscus (big brown bat). RNAcentral describes it as "efu-miR-9318a". The record is from miRBase by way of RNAcentral. Lineage: Eukaryota; Metazoa; Chordata; Mammalia; Chiroptera; Vespertilionidae.
UGUUGACAGUGUGUGUGUCC